This 301-nucleotide ribosomal RNA is filed under the name uncultured bacterium. Its description in RNAcentral is "partial 16S ribosomal RNA". It matches the Rfam family "Bacterial small subunit ribosomal RNA", at positions 509 to 808 of the family's 1533-position model. The record is from RNAcentral.
CAGUCGCCGCGGGAAUACGUAGGUGGCAAGCGUUGUCCGGAAUUAUUGGGCGUAAAGCGAGCGCAGGCGGUUAGAUAAGUCUGAAGUUAAAGGCUGUGGCUUAACCAUAGUACGCUUUGGAAACUGUUUAACUUGAGUGCAAGAGGGGAGAGUGGAAUUCCAUGUGUAGCGGUGAAAUGCGUAGAUAUAUGGAGGAACACCGGUGGCGAAAGCGGCUCUCUGGCUUGUAACUGACGCUGAGGCUCGAAAGCGUGGGGAGCAAACAGGAUUAGAUACCCCAGUAGUCCCUGUCUCUUAUACC